GAUGAACGCUGGCGGCGUGCCUAAUACAUGCAAGUCGAGCGAACGGACGAGAAGCUUGCUUUUCUGAUGUUAGCGGCGGACGGGUGAGUAACACGUGGAUAACCUACCUAUAAGACUGGGAUAACUUCGGGAAACCGGAGCUAAUACCGGAUAAUAUUUUGAACCGCAUGGUUCAAAAGUGAAAGACGGUCUUGCUGUCACUUAUAGAUGGAUCCGCGCUGCAUUAGCUAGUUGGUAAGGUAACGGCUUACCAAGGCAACGAUGCAUAGCCGACCUGAGAGGGUGAUCGGCCACACUGGAACUGAGACACGGUCCAGACUCCUACGGGAGGCAGCAGUAGGGAAUCUUCCGCAAUGGGCGAAAGCCUGACGGAGCAACGCCGCGUGAGUGAUGAAGGUCUUCGGAUCGUAAAACUCUGUUAUUAGGGAAGAACAUAUGUGUAAGUAACUGUGCACAUCUUGACGGUACCUAAUCAGAAAGCCACGGCUAACUAUGUG
This 497-nucleotide ribosomal RNA is filed under the name uncultured bacterium. RNAcentral describes it as "partial 16S ribosomal RNA". It matches the Rfam family "Bacterial small subunit ribosomal RNA", at positions 28 to 507 of the family's 1533-position model. The record is from RNAcentral.